RNAcentral lists this ribosomal RNA (348 nucleotides) under Triticum aestivum (bread wheat). Its description in RNAcentral is "partial small subunit ribosomal RNA". Lineage: Eukaryota; Viridiplantae; Streptophyta; Magnoliopsida; Poales; Poaceae. The record is from RNAcentral.
AUGUUUUUAAUAAACAGACAGAGUGUGUACUCGCUCUGUGACGGAAAGACGAGCCCGAUGUCAGUGGCUCAGCAUGGCAGAGCUGGCCACGUCUAUCUAGGUCAUCACCAUCACACACGGAGGAGGGAGGCCACCAUGGCAUGCAUGAUGAGCUGCCAUCUUUGUACGGUACCAUUGCUGGUGCUACUACUCCCCGCUGUCCCACACAUCCACACGCCUACGGUGGGUGGGACUCUUCUCUUCUCUUUUCUUUGCCUCCCUCCGUCUUCUCUCUCUCCGGUCCAAGCAGUUUCACUCGCUCGGUGUGCGAGCGAGGGAGAGGAGAGAGAGAUUAUAAUAGCACGAUAG